The sequence is a transfer RNA, 87 nucleotides long. It matches the Rfam family "tRNA". Rfam says of the family: Transfer RNA (tRNA) molecules are approximately 80 nucleotides in length. Their secondary structure includes four short double-helical elements and three loops (D, anti-codon, and T loops). Further hydrogen bonds mediate the characteristic L-shaped molecular structure. tRNAs have two regions of fundamental functional importance: the anti-codon, which is responsible for specific mRNA codon recognition, and the 3' end, to which the tRNAs corresponding amino acid is attached (by aminoacyl-tRNA synthetases). tRNAs cope with the degeneracy of the genetic code in two manners: having more than one tRNA (with a specific anti-codon) for a particular amino acid; and 'wobble' base-pairing, i.e. permitting non-standard base-pairing at the 3rd anti-codon position. The record is from Rfam.
GCCCGGUUAGCUCAAUCGGUAGAGCGUGAGACUCUUAAGGAUUCUCCGUAAAUCUCAAGGUUGCGGGUUCGACCCCCGCAUCGGGCU